GGGGAAUAUUGGACAAUGGGGGCAACCCUGAUCCAGCCAUGCCGCGUGUGUGAAGAAGGCCUUCGGGUUGUAAAGCACUUUAAGCGGGGAGGAAGGCCUGAUGGCUAAUAUCCAUCGGGAUUGACGUUACCCGCAGAAUAAGCACCGGCAAACUUCGUGCCAGCAGCCGCGGUAAUACGAACGGUGCGAGCGUUAAUCGGAAUUACUGGGCGUAAAGCGCGCGUAGGUGGUUAAGUAAGCGAUCUGUGAAAGCCCCGGGCUUAACCUGGGAACUGCAGGUCGAACUGCUUGGCUAGAGUAUGGUAGAGGGGUGUGGAAUUUCCUGUGUAGCGGUGAAAUGCGUAGAUAUAGGAAGGAACAUCAGUGGCGAAGGCGACACCCUGGACCGAUACUGACACUGAGGCGCGAAAGCGUGGGUAGCGAAC
This 425-nucleotide ribosomal RNA is filed under the name uncultured bacterium. RNAcentral describes it as "bacterial SSU rRNA". It matches the Rfam family "Bacterial small subunit ribosomal RNA", at positions 356 to 773 of the family's 1533-position model. The record is from RNAcentral.